Molecule: ribosomal RNA, 496 nt
Filed under: uncultured bacterium
Lineage: Bacteria
Description: partial 16S ribosomal RNA
Rfam family: Bacterial small subunit ribosomal RNA
Source: RNAcentral
GAUGAACGCUGGCGGCGUGCCUAAUACAUGCAAGUCGAGCGAACAGACGAGGAGCUUGCUCCUCUGACGUUAGCGGCGGACGGGUGAGUAACACGUGGAUAACCUACCUAUAAGACUGGGAUAACUUCGGGAAACCGGAGCUAAUACCGGAUAAUAUAUUGAACCGCAUGGUUCAAUAGUGAAAGACGGUUUUGCUGUCACUUAUAGAUGGAUCCGCGCCGCAUUAGCUAGUUGGUAAGGUAACGGCUUACCAAGGCAACGAUGCGUAGCCGACCUGAGAGGGUGAUCGGCCACACUGGAACUGAGACACGGUCCAGACUCCUACGGGAGGCAGCAGUAGGGAAUCUUCCGCAAUGGGCGAAAGCCUGACGGAGCAACGCCGCGUGAGUGAUGAAGGUCUUCGGAUCGUAAAACUCUGUUAUUAGGGAAGAACAAAUGUGUAAGUAACUAUGCACGUCUGACGGUACCUAAUCAGAAAGCCACGGCUAACUACGUG